Molecule: small RNA, 106 nt
Filed under: Escherichia coli
Lineage: Bacteria; Pseudomonadati; Pseudomonadota; Gammaproteobacteria; Enterobacterales; Enterobacteriaceae
Also listed under: 1 other name
Description: RtT sRNA
Rfam family: RtT RNA
About the family: This family represents a bacterial cis-regulatory element known as RtT RNA.
Source: RNAcentral
GAGGAUGAGAACCUCCGGGGGCGGGGAGGUUCGACUCGAGCGAAGCGAGAGAACGUUGCGCCAGCAACGGCCCGCAGGGCGAGCCACGAAGUGGCGAGUAAUCCUC